GACGAACGCUGGCGGCGUGCUUAACACAUGCAAGUCGAACGGAAAGGCCCUGCUUUUGUGGGGUGCUCGAGUGGCGAACGGGUGAGUAACACGUGAGUAACCUGCCCUUGACUUUGGGAUAACUUCAGGAAACUGGGGCUAAUACCGGAUAGGAGCUCCUGCUGCAUGGUGGGGGUUGGAAAGUUUCGGCGGUUGGGGAUGGACUCGCGGCUUAUCAGCUUGUUGGUGGGGUAGUGGCUUACCAAGGCUUUGACGGGUAGCCGGCCUGAGAGGGUGACCGGCCACAUUGGGACUGAGAUACGGCCCAGACUCCUACGGGAGGCAGCAGUGGGGAAUAUUGCACAAUGGGCGGAAGCCUGAUGCAGCAACGCCGCGUGCGGGAUGACGGCCUUCGGGUUGUAAACCGCUUUCGCCUGUGACGAAGCGUGAGUGACGGUAAUAGGUAAAGAAGCACCGGCUAACUACGU
Molecule: ribosomal RNA, 467 nt
Filed under: uncultured bacterium
Lineage: Bacteria
Description: partial 16S ribosomal RNA
Rfam family: Bacterial small subunit ribosomal RNA
Source: RNAcentral